RNAcentral lists this ribosomal RNA (468 nucleotides) under uncultured bacterium. RNAcentral's name for it is "partial 16S ribosomal RNA". It matches the Rfam family "Bacterial small subunit ribosomal RNA", at positions 28 to 507 of the family's 1533-position model. The record is from RNAcentral.
GACGAACGCUGGCGGCGUGCUUAACACAUGCAAGUCGAACGGAAAGGCCCUGCUUUUGUGGGGUGCUCGAGUGGCGAACGGGUGAGUAACACGUGAGUAACCUGCCCUUGACUUUGGGAUAACUUCAGGAAACUGGGGCUAAUACCGGAUAGGAGCUCCUGCUGCAUGGUGGGGGUUGGAAAGUUUCGGCGGUUGGGGAUGGACUCGCGGCUUAUCAGCUUGUUGGUGGGGUAGUGGCUUACCAAGGCUUUGACGGGUAGCCGGCCUGAGAGGGUGACCGGCCACAUUGGGACUGAGAUACGGCCCAGACUCCUACGGGAGGCAGCAGUGGGGUAUGUUGCACAAUGGGCGGAAGCCUGAUGCAGCAACGCCGCGUGCGGGAUGACGGCCUUCGGGUUGUAAACCGCUUUCGCCUGUGACGAAGCGUGAGUGACGGUAAUGGGUAAAGAAGCACCGGCUAACUACGUG